RNAcentral lists this small nuclear RNA (328 nucleotides) under Panthera pardus (leopard). Its description in RNAcentral is "7SK RNA (ENSPPRG00000016420.1)". It matches the Rfam family "7SK RNA". Rfam says of the family: 7SK was discovered as an abundant small nuclear RNA in the mid-70s but a possible function has only recently been suggested. Lineage: Eukaryota; Metazoa; Chordata; Mammalia; Carnivora; Felidae. The record is from RNAcentral.
GGAUGUGAAAAUAAUCUGGCUGUGACAUGUGUCACCCCCAUUGAUCAUCAGGGUUCAUUCAGCUGAUCUGGCUGGCUAGGCAUAUGUCCCCUUCCUCCCUCACUGCUCCAUGUACUUCUCUCUCAGAGCUGCACACUCGGUCAAGGAAGAUGACUUUCCCCAUAGAGGAGGAACAUUCUUUGGUCAAGGGUAUAUGAGUAGCUGCAUUCCCCUGCUAGAACCUCCAAACAAGGUCUCAGGGUCCAUUUGUAGGAGAAUUUAGGGUAGUCAAGCUUCCAAGACCCCAGACACAUCCAAAUGAGGCACUGCAUGUGGUAAUCUGCCUGAA